This 72-nucleotide transfer RNA is filed under the name Sphaerodactylus townsendi. RNAcentral describes it as "tRNA-Ala". It matches the Rfam family "tRNA". Rfam says of the family: Transfer RNA (tRNA) molecules are approximately 80 nucleotides in length. The record is from RNAcentral. Lineage: Eukaryota; Metazoa; Chordata; Lepidosauria; Squamata; Sphaerodactylidae.
UGGGCCAUAACUCAGUGGUAGAGCAGCCGCUUGGCAUGCGGAAGGUCCUGGGUUCAAUCCCUGGUAACCCAG